GAUGAAGAACGUAGCGAAAUGCGAUAAGUAAUGUGAAUUGCAGAAUUCAGUGAUUCAUCGAAUCUUUGAACGCACAUUGCGCCCGCCAGUAUUCUGGCGGGCAUGCCUGUUCGAGCGUCAUUUCAACCCUCAGGCCCCCAGUGCCUGGUGUUGGGGAUCGGCCCAGCCUUCCUGUAAGGCCGCCGGCCCCGAAAUCUAGUGGCGGUCUCGCUGUAGUCCUCCUCUGCGUAGUAGCACAACCUCGCAGUUGGAACGCGGCGGUGGCCAUGCCGUUAAACACCCCACUUCUGAAAGUUGACCUCGGAUCAGGUAGGAAUACCCGCUGAACUUAAGCAUAUCAAUAAGCGGAGGA
RNAcentral lists this unclassified non-coding RNA (352 nucleotides) under soil metagenome. RNAcentral describes it as "partial contains 5.8S ribosomal RNA, internal transcribed spacer 2, and large subunit ribosomal RNA". The stretch from base 1 to 120 matches the Rfam family "5.8S ribosomal RNA", at positions 35 to 154 of the family's 154-position model. The record is from RNAcentral.